RNAcentral lists this unclassified non-coding RNA (20 nucleotides) under Mus musculus (house mouse). RNAcentral's name for it is "oocyte_clustered_small_RNA11367". Lineage: Eukaryota; Metazoa; Chordata; Mammalia; Rodentia; Muridae. The record is from RNAcentral.
UUCAGCUUCUGCUUCCUGAC